AUUGAACGCUGGCGGCAGGCCUAACACAUGCAAGUCGAACGAGUGGCGGACGGGUGAGUAAUGUCUGGGAAACUGCCCGAUGGAGGGGGAUAACUACUGGAAACGGUAGCUAAUACCGCAUACCAUCGGAUGUGCCCAGAUGGGAUUAGCUGGUAGGUGCGGUAACGGCCCACCUAGCAGACGAUCCCUAGCUGGUCUGAGAGGAUGACCAGCCAAACUGGAACUGAGACACUGUCCAGACUCCGACGGUACGCAGCAGUGGGUAAUAUUGCACAAUGGGCGCAAGCCUGAGUCAGCCAUGCCGCUUGUAUGUAGAAGGCCUUCGGGUUGUAAAGUACUUUCAGCGGGGAGGCGUUACCCGCAGAAGAAGCACCGGCUAACUCCGUGCCAGCAGCCGCGGUAAUAC
This 406-nucleotide ribosomal RNA is filed under the name uncultured bacterium. Its description in RNAcentral is "partial 16S ribosomal RNA". It matches the Rfam family "Bacterial small subunit ribosomal RNA", at positions 30 to 526 of the family's 1533-position model. The record is from RNAcentral.